GAUGAACGCUGGCGGCGUGCCUAAUACAUGCAAGUCGAGCGAACAGACGAGGAGCUUGCUCCUUUAACGUUAGCGGCGGACGGGUGAGUAACACGUAGGUAACCUACCUAUAAGACUGGGAUAACUUCGGGAAACCGGAGCUAAUACCGGAUAAUAUUUCGAACCGCAUGGUUCGAUAGUGAAAGAUGGCUUUGCUAUCACUUAUAGAUGGACCUGCGCCGUAUUAGCUAGUUGGUAAGGUAACGGCUUACCAAGGCAACGAUACGUAGCCGACCUGAGAGGGUGAUCGGCCACACUGGAACUGAGACACGGUCCAGACUCCUACGGGAGGCAGCAGUAGGGAAUCUUCCGCAAUGGGCGAAAGCCUGACGGAGCAACGCCGCGUGAGUGAUGAAGGUCUUCGGAUCGUAAAACUCUGUUAUUAGGGAAGAACAAACGUGUAAGUAACUGUGCACGUCUUGACGGUACCUAAUCAGAAAGCCACGGCUAACUACGUG
RNAcentral lists this ribosomal RNA (497 nucleotides) under uncultured bacterium. RNAcentral describes it as "partial 16S ribosomal RNA". It matches the Rfam family "Bacterial small subunit ribosomal RNA", at positions 28 to 507 of the family's 1533-position model. The record is from RNAcentral.